This 560-nucleotide ribosomal RNA is filed under the name Bacillus cereus. Its description in RNAcentral is "bacterial SSU rRNA". It matches the Rfam family "Bacterial small subunit ribosomal RNA", at positions 69 to 612 of the family's 1533-position model. Lineage: Bacteria; Bacillati; Bacillota; Bacilli; Caryophanales; Bacillaceae. The record is from RNAcentral.
GGAUUAAGAGCUUGCUCUUAUGAAGUUAGCGGCGGACGGGUGAGUAACACGUGGGUAACCUGCCCAUAAGACUGGGAUAACUCCGGGAAACCGGGGCUAAUACCGGAUAACAUUUUGAACCGCAUGGUUCGAAAUUGAAAGGCGGCUUCGGCUGUCACUUAUGGAUGGACCCGCGUCGCAUUAGCUAGUUGGUGAGGUAACGGCUCACCAAGGCAACGAUGCGUAGCCGACCUGAGAGGGUGAUCGGCCACACUGGGACUGAGACACGGCCCAGACUCCUACGGGAGGCAGCAGUAGGGAAUCUUCCGCAAUGGACGAAAGUCUGACGGAGCAACGCCGCGUGAGUGAUGAAGGCUUUCGGGUCGUAAAACUCUGUUGUUAGGGAAGAACAAGUGCUAGUUGAAUAAGCUGGCACCUUGACGGUACCUAACCAGAAAGCCACGGCUAACUACGUGCCAGCAGCCGCGGUAAUACGUAGGUGGCAAGCGUUAUCCGGAAUUAUUGGGCGUAAAGCGCGCGCAGGUGGUUUCUUAAGUCUGAUGUGAAAGCCCACGGCUCAA